Struthio camelus australis is the source of this 3710-nucleotide non-coding RNA. Lineage: Eukaryota; Metazoa; Chordata; Aves; Struthioniformes; Struthionidae. The record is from RefSeq and is a predicted model, not a curated record.
GCGCCGAGGAGGAGGACGACGAAGAGGAGGAGAGCGACCCAAGCAGUCGGAGCGGCCGCAAAGACAGGCAUUACCGUUCUGCCCACGUGGAGACACCUUCCUACACAGGGGGUGUGAGUGAGGAGUUUUGGGAACGCAGCCGGCAGCGGGAAAGGGAGCGUCGGGAGCAAGGUGUCUUUGCUUCCUCUAAGGAGGAGAAGGAACGAAAGAAGGAACGCAGUAGGGAUCGGGACCAUGACCGUAAACGGGACCGAGAGGAGCGGGACAAAAGUCGUCACAGCAGCAGAUCAGAAAGGGAUGGCUCAUCAGAGCGGAGCAGCAGGAGGAGUGAACCAGAGAGUCCGAGACACAGACCGAAAGAUUCAGCCACACCAUCUCGCUCCAGCUGGGAGGAGGAUGAUAGUGGUUACAGCAGUACCCGCCGCUCACAGUGGGAAUCUCCAUCGCCUGUGUCUUCCUAUCGGGACUCUGAGCGCAGCCACAGGGCGUCGUCCUUGCGAGACACAGAUCGAAGAGAUCGGGACAGGUCCGUGAGGAGCAGGUACUGGGAUAAGACGCCGUUGCCCACCCCAUCGUACAAAUAUAAUGAGUGGGCUGAUGACCGGAGACACUUGGGGGCCACGCCACGGCUGUCCAGAGGUAAAGGGCGGCGUGAAGAUGGGGAAGAGGGCAUUGCCUUUGAGACGGAGGAGGAGCGGCAGCAGUGGGAGGAUGACCAGCGGCAAGCUGACCGGGACUGGUAUAUGAUGGACGAGGGCUAUGACGAGUUUCACAAUCCCUUGGCCUACUCCUCUGAGGAGUACGUGAAGAAGCGGGAGCAGCACCUGCACAAGCAGAGGCAGAAGCGCAUCUCUGCGCAGCGGCGGCAGAUCAAUGAGGAUAACGAGCGCUGGGAGACAAAUCGCAUGCUAACCAGUGGUGUGGUUCAUCGGCUUGAAGUGGAUGAAGACUUUGAGGAGGAUAACUCGGCUAAAGUGCAUCUGCUGGUGCACAACCUGGUGCCCCCUUUCCUAGAUGGGAGGAUAGUCUUCACCAAGCAGCCAGAGCCAGUCAUCCCUGUCAAGGAUGCCACCUCAGAUUUGGCCAUCAUUGCUCGGAAAGGCAGUCAACUGGUGCGCAAGCACAGGGAGCAAAAGGAGCGUAAGAGGGCUCAGCAUAAACACUGGGAACUGGCAGGCACAAAACUGGGAGACAUUAUGGGGAUCAAAAAGGAGGAAGAGAAGGACGAGAUGGUGACGGAAGAUGGCAAAGUGGAUUACAGGACUGAGCAGAAGUUUGCUGAACACAUGAAAGAAAAGAGUGAAGCAAGCAGUGAGUUUGCCAAGAAGAAAUCAAUCCUGGAGCAGAGACAAUAUCUGCCCAUUUUUGCUGUGCAGCAGGAGCUGCUCUCCAUUCUCAGGGACAACAGCAUUGUGAUUGUGGUGGGGGAGACGGGGAGUGGGAAGACAACUCAGCUGACGCAGUACCUCCAUGAGGAUGGCUACACAGACUAUGGCAUGAUUGGCUGCACCCAGCCCCGCAGAGUUGCAGCUAUGUCGGUUGCCAAGCGAGUCAGUGAAGAGAUGGGGGUGCGUCUGGGAGAGGAGGUGGGCUAUGCCAUCCGCUUUGAGGACUGCACAUCAGAGAACACAGUGAUCAAAUACAUGACGGAUGGGAUCCUCCUCCGUGAGUCACUGCGAGAGGCUGACCUGGACCACUACAGUGCUAUCAUCAUGGAUGAGGCACACGAGCGCUCGCUCAACACUGAUGUACUCUUUGGCCUGCUUCGGGAGGUGGUGGCCCGACGCUCAGAUCUGAAGCUUGUUGUCACCUCGGCCACCAUGGAUGCAGAUAAGUUUGCUUCUUUCUUUGGGAACGUUCCCAUUUUCCACAUUCCUGGGCGCACGUUUCCUGUCGACAUUCUCUUCAGCAAGACCCCCCAAGAGGAUUAUGUGGAGGCUGCAGUGAAACAAGCCCUACAGGUGCAUCUGUCUGGUGCUCCUGGAGACAUCCUCGUCUUCAUGCCUGGCCAGGAAGACAUCGAGGUGACCUCAGAGCAAAUUGUGGAGCACCUUGAGGAGCUGGAGAAGGCACCUGCUCUUGCUGUACUGCCCAUCUAUUCUCAGCUACCCUCAGACUUGCAGGCCAAGAUCUUCCAGAAGGCUCCGGAUGGGGUCAGGAAGUGUAUUGUUGCCACCAACAUCGCAGAGACCUCACUGACAGUGGAUGGCAUCAUGUUUGUGAUUGACUCUGGCUACUGCAAGUUGAAGGUUUUCAACCCCCGCAUAGGCAUGGAUGCACUGCAGAUCUACCCCAUCAGUCAAGCAAAUGCCAAUCAGAGGGCAGGCCGAGCAGGCCGGACAGGCCCAGGUCACUGCUUCAGGCUCUACACCCAGAGCGCCUACAAGAACGAGCUCCUCACCACGACUGUGCCCGAAAUCCAGCGCACCAACCUUGCCAACGUGGUGCUUUUGCUCAAGUCUCUGGGUGUGCAGGACCUGCUGCAGUUCCACUUCAUGGAUCCACCCCCUGAGGACAACAUGCUGAACUCCAUGUACCAGCUGUGGAUCCUGGGAGCGCUGGAUAACACAGGUGGUCUGACCUCUACGGGUCGUCUUAUGGUGGAGUUCCCCCUGGAUCCUGCACUCUCCAAAAUGCUCAUUGUUUCCUGUGACAUGGGUUGCAGUUCUGAGAUCUUGCUCAUUGUCUCCAUGCUGUCUGUGCCUGCCAUCUUCUAUCGGCCUAAGGGCCGAGAGGAGGAGAGCGACCAGGUGCGUGAGAAAUUUGCCGUCCCAGAGAGCGAUCAUUUGACUUACCUGAAUGUUUACCUGCAAUGGAAGAACAACAACUACUCUACGCUGUGGUGCAACCAGCAUUUCAUCCAUGCCAAGGCCAUGCGGAAGGUGCGAGAAGUGCGUGCCCAGCUCAAGGACAUCAUGGUGCAGCAGCGGAUGAGCCUGGCAUCCUGUGGCACUGACUGGGAUGUUGUCAGGAAGUGCAUCUGUGCUGCGUAUUUCCAUCAGGCUGCAAAGCUGAAGGUGAGAGGGCUCUGUGCUCUGUGUGGGGGAUGAGAGGCUGUGUCUGUCACAUGUAUGCUAACCACACUUCUCUGUGCAGGGUAUUGGGGAGUAUGUGAACAUCCGCACAGGCAUGCCCUGCCACCUGCACCCCACAAGCUCCCUGUUUGGCAUGGGCUACACACCAGACUACAUUGUGUAUCAUGAACUGGUCAUGACCACCAAGGAAUACAUGCAAUGCGUCACUGCUGUGGAUGGAGAGUGGCUGGCAGAGCUGGGCCCCAUGUUCUACAGUAUCAAACAUGCUGGCAAGUCACGUCAGGAGAACCGCCGCCGUGCCAAGGAGGAAGCGUCCCUCAUGGAGGAGGAGAUGGCUCUAGCUGAGCAGCAGCUGCGUGCCCGCCGGGAGGAACAGGAGCGCCGUAACCCACUGGGCAGUGCGAGGUCUACUAAAAUCUACACCCCUGGGCGGAAGGAGCAGGGGGAGCCCCUGACACCACGACGCACCCCAGCCCGCUUUGGCCUCUGAGAAGAAAGUGCCCGUUGCUUCGAGGCUUAUGGGCUUCCAGGAGCAGCUGAGUCUCAGGAGAGCUGCCAAGCUCCCCAACUGCUCGGCUCGUUACAGCUUGUGGCCCAGGAAGGCUUUGGUGCUUGGCACUACUUUUGCUACGGAACAGAAAUAAUUUUAUUUGUUUAAAGGUUGUUAGUCUUUGA